This 463-nucleotide ribosomal RNA is filed under the name uncultured Micromonosporaceae bacterium. RNAcentral's name for it is "bacterial SSU rRNA". It matches the Rfam family "Bacterial small subunit ribosomal RNA", at positions 338 to 798 of the family's 1533-position model. The record is from RNAcentral. Lineage: Bacteria; Bacillati; Actinomycetota; Actinomycetes; Micromonosporales; Micromonosporaceae.
CCUACGGGAGGCAGCAGUGGGGAAUAUUGCGCAAUGGGCGGAAGCCUGACGCAGCGACGCCGUGUGGGGGAUGACGGCCUUCGGGUUGUAAACCUCUUUCGACUCUGACGAAGUCUGCGGGUUUUCUUGUGGGUGACGGUAGGGGUGGAAGAAGCGCCGGCCAACUACGUGCCAGCAGCCGCGGUAAGACGUAGGGCGCGAGCGUUGUCCGGAUUUAUUGGGCGUAAAGAGCUCGUAGGCGGCUUGUUGCGUCAAUCGUGAAAACCGGAUGCUUAACGUCUGGCUUGCGGUUGAUACGGGCGGGCUGGAGUUCGGUAGGGGAGACUGGAAUUCCUGGUGUAGCGGUGAAAUGCGUAGAUAUAUGGAGGAACACCAGUGGCGAAGGCGACUUACUGGAUCGAUACUGACGCUCAGUCACGAAAGCGUGGGUAGCAAAUAGGAUUAGAUACCCCAGUAGUCACUC